This 255-nucleotide ribosomal RNA is filed under the name Peribacillus simplex. RNAcentral's name for it is "partial 23S ribosomal RNA". It matches the Rfam family "Bacterial large subunit ribosomal RNA", at positions 512 to 769 of the family's 2925-position model. The record is from RNAcentral. Lineage: Bacteria; Bacillati; Bacillota; Bacilli; Caryophanales; Bacillaceae.
AGGUGAAAAGCACCCCGGAAGGGGAGUGAAAUAGAUCCUGAAACCGUGUGCCUACAAGUAGUCAAAGCCCGUUAAUGGGUAAUGGCGUGCCUUUUGUAGAAUGAACCGGCGAGUUACGAUUUCAUGCGAGGUUAAGUUGAUGAGACGGAGCCGCAGCGAAAGCGAGUCUGAAUAGGGCGAAUGAGUAUGAGGUCGUAGACCCGAAACCAGGUGAUCUACCCAUGUCCAGGGUGAAGUUCAGGUAACACUGAAUGG